GCAUGGAUGAAUUCUGCGUUGGCUUGCGGUAGCGACUGCAGUCAGACACCAUGCUAAACUAUUUCUUGCAUGUGCUCGUUUUAAUGACGUUUGUUCAUUGAAUGUCGUCAAAAAGUGCAUUUGCAUACACUG
This is a small nucleolar RNA of Spea bombifrons (plains spadefoot toad), 132 nucleotides long. RefSeq annotates it as small nucleolar RNA SNORA15. The transcript has a single exon. Lineage: Eukaryota; Metazoa; Chordata; Amphibia; Anura; Pelobatidae. The record is from RefSeq and is a predicted model, not a curated record.